RNAcentral lists this ribosomal RNA (465 nucleotides) under uncultured bacterium. Its description in RNAcentral is "partial 16S ribosomal RNA". It matches the Rfam family "Bacterial small subunit ribosomal RNA", at positions 28 to 507 of the family's 1533-position model. The record is from RNAcentral.
GAUGAACGCUGGCGGCGUGCUUAACACAUGCAAGUCGAACGGAAAGGCUCCUGCUUGCAGGGGUACUCGAGUGGCGAACGUUUGAGUAACACUUGGGUGAUCUGCCCUGCACUUCGGGAUAAGCCUGGGAAACUGGGUCUAAUACCGGAUUGGACGUUGUUUUGGAUGCCAUUGUGGAAAGUUUUUCGGUGUGGGAUGAGCUCGCGGCCUAUCAGCUUGUUGGUGGGGUAAUGGCCUACCAAGGCGUCGACGGGUAGCCGGCCUGAGAGGGUGUACGGCCACAUUGGGACUGAGAUACGGCCCAGACUGCUACGGGAGGAAGCAGUGAAGAAUAUUGAACAAUGGGCGCAAGCCUGAUGCAGCGACGCCGCGUGGGGGAUGACGGACUUAGGGUUGUAAACUCAUUUCGCGAGGGACGAAGCGCAAGUGACGGUACCUGGAGAAGAAGCACCGGCUAAAUACGUG